Molecule: ribosomal RNA, 225 nt
Filed under: Triticum aestivum (bread wheat)
Lineage: Eukaryota; Viridiplantae; Streptophyta; Magnoliopsida; Poales; Poaceae
Description: partial small subunit ribosomal RNA
Source: RNAcentral
AUGAUGAAGCAACUAAUUGCAAGCAGGUUGCGGCAAAAUAAUAGUGGAGGAAGUGCAAGUAGUAAAUCUGAGCUUGAAAAAUACCUUGCCGAAGACUCUGAAGACCCUGACAAAAAAAUUGACAUCCUAGGAUGGUGGAAAGAGAAUUCAUCUAGGUUCCCAAUCUUGGCAAAUAUGGCUCAUGAUAUUCUUGCUAUCCCCAUUACAACGGUGGCUUCAGAGUGA